Salvelinus sp. IW2-2015 is the source of this 473-nucleotide long non-coding RNA. RefSeq lists it as uncharacterized. NCBI's taxonomy places the organism in Eukaryota, Metazoa, Chordata, Actinopteri, Salmoniformes, Salmonidae. The record is from RefSeq and is a predicted model, not a curated record.
CUAUAGCCUAGCUGUGAUGCGUUCAUACACGAUGUCCAGAUUUUCACAGGCGGACCAUUUACAAGUUAAAUCACGGGGGGAAAUGUAUUUUACCCACUGAUAGAACAUAGGCUUUCACCAAAUUGAUUUGUAUUUCUGGGGUGGAUUAUCCAUUUAAACUGUAUAGUGGAUUAUCAGUAGGUUGCCUCCCACUUUUCGCAAACGUUAUUUGGAAAGUCAGUGAAAGUAAAAUAGUCCAACUGUGAACCAAGACCGGGUCUGUUCAUCUCAAUACUUCAAAACUCCUAAGAACUUCACAAAUCCAGUGUGUGGGUCUUCCAGUGAGUUGGAGAGGAUUGAGGAACCAUGGCACAGUUUGGAACCUUGAUAUGGACUAUAACUAUUAUAUUGGUGCUUGUAAGCAUUGGAUCCUGUAUUGCAUGUGGUAGAGCAGAGUACAGAACAGGUGUUGAAUGCUGUCCCAUGUGUUCACC